CUGAGUGACGUUGCUUCCCGUAGGAGGAAAUCAGAGAGGAAGGAAAGUCCCCAUCUCCAAAUGCAAACACAUGUGCUGAAUUUGUAUAGAACCAUCUGGGAUUGCACCAUUUCUGGGAAUCCACACCAAGAACAGCCUUAAGAAUCUGGAGCUCGAAGCCAUCCAUCCAGGGAUGGGACACUGCUGACAUCUGACUGCCAGCAUUCAGGACCUCAGAGACUAAAGCUCCCUACUUCAUCCACUGCUUGGAUUAAGUGCUUCCCUGAAGGACUCUGGUAAAAUCGACUACAGGUGCUGAGCAGAGACUGACCCUACUUCCAAUUGGGAUGCCCCUUGUCCAUUCCCCCUGAAGCCUACUGUCUCUGGAGUUUUGGGUAGCUUCUGUAGCUCCACCUCUUUGCCCAGUUCCUCCUUGGAAACUACCGAACACCGGUGGUGGUCAUCAGGUGAGUAAUUGGCACGUUCUGUAAAGAGCUUUGCCCCCGUGGCAAGGAUUGUCUUGAGGAGCUAGUGGCUCACUUGUUCUAGUGGCUUUCAUCCGUGUGUCUAGUCAUGCUGACAGAAUCAUCAGUUUCCUCCGUG
Molecule: long non-coding RNA, 582 nt
Organism: Tachyglossus aculeatus (Australian echidna)
Lineage: Eukaryota; Metazoa; Chordata; Mammalia; Monotremata; Tachyglossidae
Exons: 4
Source: RefSeq, a predicted model, not a curated record